RNAcentral lists this ribosomal RNA (365 nucleotides) under uncultured bacterium. RNAcentral describes it as "bacterial SSU rRNA". It matches the Rfam family "Bacterial small subunit ribosomal RNA", at positions 29 to 422 of the family's 1533-position model. The record is from RNAcentral.
AACGAACGCUGGCGGCAUGCCUAACACAUGCAAGUCGAACGAGACCUUCGGGUCUAGUGGCGCACGGGUGCGUAACGCGUGGGAACCUGCCUUUAGGUUCGGAAUAACUCAGAGAAAUUUGAGCUAAUACCGGAUAAUGUCUUCGGACCAAAGAUUUAUCGCCUUUAGAUGGGCCCGCGUUGGAUUAGCUAGUUGGUGGGGUAAAGCCUACCAAGGCGACGAUCCAUAGCUGGUCUGAGAGGAUGAUCAGCCACACUGGGACUGAGACACGGCCCAGACUCCUACGGGAGGCAGCAGUGGGGAAUAUUGGACAAUGGGCGAAAGCCUGAUCCAGCAAUGCCGCGUGAGUGAUGAAGGCCUUCGGG